UCCCUAGUGGCUCAGUGGUAUAGAACCUGCCUACCAAUGCAGGAGACCCAGGUUCGAUCCCUGGGUUGGGAA
Molecule: transfer RNA, 72 nt
Filed under: Bos taurus (domestic cattle)
Lineage: Eukaryota; Metazoa; Chordata; Mammalia; Artiodactyla; Bovidae
Also listed under: 4 other names
Rfam family: tRNA
About the family: Transfer RNA (tRNA) molecules are approximately 80 nucleotides in length. Their secondary structure includes four short double-helical elements and three loops (D, anti-codon, and T loops).
Source: Rfam by way of RNAcentral